This 493-nucleotide ribosomal RNA is filed under the name uncultured bacterium. RNAcentral's name for it is "bacterial SSU rRNA". It matches the Rfam family "Bacterial small subunit ribosomal RNA", at positions 15 to 518 of the family's 1533-position model. The record is from RNAcentral.
GAUCCUGGCUCAGGAUGAACGCUGGCGGCGCGCCUAACACAUGCAAGUCGAACGAUUAAAGCGCCUUCGGGCGUGUAUAAAGUGGCGAACGGCUGAGUAACACGUGGGCAACCUGCCCCUCGCACCGGGACAGCCUCGGGAAACUGGGAGUAAUACCGGAUACUCCGCACCCCCGCAUGGGGGAGGCGGGAAAGCCUUUACGGCGAGGGAUGGGCCCGCGGCCUGUUAGCUCGUUGGUGGGGUAACGGCCCACCAAGGCGAUUAUGGGUAGCUGGGUUGAGAGACCGACCAGCCAGAUUGGGACUGAGACACGGCCCAAACUCCUACGGGAGGCAGCAGUGGGGAAUCUUGCACAAUGGGCGAAAGCCUGAUGCCAGCGACGCCGCGUGCGGGAUGAAGGCCUUCGGGUUGUAAACCGCUUUCAGUGGGGACGAGGCCGCGAGGUGACGGUACCCACAGAAGAAGCCCCGGCUAACUACGUGCCAGCCGCUGC